AUUAAACGCUGGCGGCAUGCCUUACACAUGCAAGUCGAACGGCAGCACGGGGGCAACCUUGGUGGCGAGUGGCGAACGGGUGAGUAAAGCAUCGGAACGUGCCCUGGAGUGGGGGAUAACGUAGCGAAAGUUACGCUAAUACCGCAUAUUCUGUGAGCAGGAAAGCAGGGGAUCGCAAGACCUUGCGCUCUGGGGAGCGGCCGAUGUCGGAUUAGCUAGUUGGUGGGGUAAAGGCCUACCAAGGCGACGAUCCGUAGCGGGUCUGAGAGGAUGAUCCGCCACACUGGGACUGAGACACGGCCCAGACUCCUACGGGAGGCAGCAGUGGGGAAUUUUGGACAAUGGGCGAAAGCCUGAUCCAGCCAUGCCGCGUGAGUGAAGAA
Molecule: ribosomal RNA, 383 nt
Filed under: uncultured bacterium
Lineage: Bacteria
Description: bacterial SSU rRNA
Rfam family: Bacterial small subunit ribosomal RNA
Source: RNAcentral